Long non-coding RNA from Salvia hispanica, 551 nucleotides. RefSeq lists it as uncharacterized. The record is from RefSeq and is a predicted model, not a curated record. NCBI's taxonomy places the organism in Eukaryota, Viridiplantae, Streptophyta, Magnoliopsida, Lamiales, Lamiaceae.
UCUACAAACAAAGUCAAAUCACUUGUGAUUUAAUUUCACACAGUUUUUUUUCAUACAAUUUUGCCAUGGCAAUUUGCACCUCUCUGAGAUCCAUGAAGGUGGCUCUGCUCAUCUUCGUCCUCGUCUUCGCCUUAUUACCGAUCUUCCCAACUGCUGACGCAGCUCGAUUUACUGAGGUGCUGGCUAAGAUGCCUAGGUGUCCGGCUUGUUUAUGCUGUGAGCCUCCACCGCCGGGAAUGUGCUGCCGUUGUUGUGCUUCUUCCUCUUCUUCUUCACCCUCCGGGGUUAAGACUAACAAUGGCUUUCCAUGAUAAGCUAAAUAAGUGGUGGGAUUUUCGAUUUUGGACGUGAUAAAUAAUUACAACAAUUUGGAGCUUCGAAGUCUGAGCAUCAGCAUCUAAAGAUUAUGAACUAUCAGCUUUCUUUCUUAUGUUUCUUCUCUUCUUUUUUAUGUAUGUUAUGUUCUUUCUUUCUUCUUUCUACUUUCAUCCUUUUGUUUUUCUUAAUUAUGACUAUUUUCUUGAUUUCAACAAAGAUUCGGAUUAAUUGCA